UACGGGGGGAGCAAGCGUUGUUCGGAUUUACUGGGCGUAAAGGGCGCGUAGGCGGCUCGUGACAAGUCACUUGUGAAAUCUCCGGGCUUAACUCGGAACGGUCAAGUGAUACUGUCGGACUAGAGUACAGAAGGGGCAACUGGAAUUCUCGGUGUAGCGGUGAAAUGCGUAGAUAUCGGGAGGAACACCAGUGGCGAAGGCGGCGACCUGGGCCAAUAUUGACGCUGAGGUGCGAAAGCGUGGGGAGCAAACAGG
This 255-nucleotide ribosomal RNA is filed under the name uncultured bacterium. RNAcentral describes it as "partial 16S ribosomal RNA". It matches the Rfam family "Bacterial small subunit ribosomal RNA", at positions 524 to 776 of the family's 1533-position model. The record is from RNAcentral.